This 875-nucleotide ribosomal RNA is filed under the name bacterium W15M32. RNAcentral's name for it is "bacterial SSU rRNA". It matches the Rfam family "Bacterial small subunit ribosomal RNA", at positions 56 to 941 of the family's 1533-position model. The record is from RNAcentral.
UGCAAGUCGAACGAUGAAGGAGGAGCUUGCUCCUCUGGAUUAGUGGCGAACGGGUGAGUAACACGUGAGCAAUCUGCCCCUGACUCUGGGAUAAGCGUUGGAAACGACGUCUAAUACCGGAUACGAGCUGAGAAGGCAUCUUCAGCAGCUGGAAAGAACUUCGGUCAGGGAUGAGCUCGCGGCCUAUCAGGUAGUUGGUGAGGUAACGGCUCACCAAGCCUACGACGGGUAGCCGGCCUGAGAGGGUGACCGGCCACACUGGGACUGAGACACGGCCCAGACUCCUACGGGAGGCAGCAGUGGGGAAUAUUGCACAAUGGGCGAAAGCCUGAUGCAGCAACGCCGCGUGAGGGACGAAGGCCUUCGGGUCGUAAACCUCUUUUAGCAGGGAAGAAGCGAAAGUGACGGUACCUGCAGAAAAAGCACCGGCUAACUACGUGCCAGCAGCCGCGGUAAUACGUAGGGUGCGAGCGUUAUCCGGAAUUAUUGGGCGUAAAGAGCUCGUAGGCGGUCUGUCGCGUCUGCUGUGAAAUCCCGAGGCUCAACCUCGGGCUUGCAGUGGGUACGGGCAGACUAGAGUGCGGUAGGGGAGAUUGGAAUUCCUGGUGUAGCGGUGGAAUGCGCAGAUAUCAGGAGGAACACCGAUGGCGAAGGCAGAUCUCUGGGCCGUUACUGACGCUGAGGAGCGAAAGCGUGGGGAGCAAACAGGCUUAGAUACCCUGGUAGUCCACGCCGUAAACGUUGGGAACUAGAUGUGGGGACCAUUCCACGGUCUCCGUGUCGUAGCUAACGCAUUAAGUUCCCCGCCUGGGGAGUACGGCCGCAAGGCUAAACUCAAAGGAAUUGACGGGGGCCCGCACAAGCGGCGGAGCAUG